AAACUUGAGAGUUUGAUCAUGGCUCAGAACGUACGCUGGCGGCACGCCUAACACAUGCAAGUCGAACGAAGUAGCAAUACUUAGUGGCAGACGGGUGAGUAACAUGUGGGUAUCUGCCCUUUGGCCUGGAAUAACACGAGGAAACUUGUGCUAAUACCGGAUAAGUCUUUACGGAGAAAGCUUUAUGCACCAUUGGAUGAGCCCGCACUUGAUUAGUUUGUUGGUGGGGUAAUGGCCUACCAAGACUGUGAUCAAUAGCUGAUUUGAGAGGAUGAUCAGCCACAUUGGGACUGAGACACGGCCCAAACUCCUACGGGAGGCAGCAGUGGGGAAUCUUGCACAAUGGAGGAAACUCUGAUGCAGCGAUGCCGCGUGAGUGAAGAAGGCCCUUGGGUUGUAAAGCUCUUUCGUCGGGGAAGAAAAUGACUGUACCCGAAUAAGAAGGUCCGGCUAACUUCGUGCCAGCAGCCGCGGUAAUACGAAGGGACCUAGCGUAGUUCGGAAUUACUGGGCUUAAAGAGUUCGUAGGUGGUUGAAAAAGUUAGUGGUGAAAUCCCAGAGCUUAACUCUGGAACUGCCAUUAAAACUUUUCAGCUAGAGUAUGAUAGAGGAAAGCAGAAUUUCUAGUGUAGAGGUGAAAUUCGUAGAUAUUAGAAAGAAUACCAAUUGCGAAGGCAGCUUUCUGGAUCAUUACUGACACUGAGGAACGAAAGCAUGGGUAGCGAAGAGGAUUAGAUACCCUCGUAGUCCAUGCCGUAAACGAUGUGUGUUAGACGUUGGAAAUUUAUUUUCAGUGUCGCAGCGAAAGCGAUAAACACACCGCCUGGGGAGUACGACCGCAAGGUUAAAACUCAAAUGAAUUGACGGGGACCCGCACAAGUAGUGGAGCAUGUGGUUUAAUUCGAAGAUACGCGCAGAACCUUACCAACACUUGACAUGUUCGUCGCGACUCUAAGAGAUUAGAGUUUUCGGUUCGGCCGGACGAAACACAGGUGCUGCAUGGCUGUCGUCAGCUCGUGUCGUGAGAUGUUGGGUUAAGUCCCGCAACGAGCGCAACCCUCACUUUUAGUUGCCAUCAUUAAGUUGGGCACUCUGAAAGAACUGCCAGUGAUAAGCUGGAGGAAGGUGGGGAUGACGUCAAGUCCUCAUGGCCCUUACGUGUUGGGCUACACACGUGCUACAAUGGUAUCUACAACAGGAAGCAAGACUGCGAGGUCAAGCAAAUCCUCAAAAGAUACCUCAGUUCGGAUUGCACUCUGCAACUCGAGUGCAUGAAGCUGGAAUUACUAGUAAUCGUGGAUCAGCGUGCCACGGUGAAUGCGUUCCCGGGUCUUGUACACACCGCCCGUCACACCAUGGGAGUUGGUUCUACCUUAAGGCAAGGUUUCAAACCCUUGACCACGGUAUAGUCAGCGACUGGGGUGAAGUCGUAACAAGGUAGCCGUAGGGGAACCUGCGGCUGGAUUACCUCCUUU
This 1475-nucleotide ribosomal RNA is filed under the name Candidatus Pelagibacter sp. RNAcentral's name for it is "bacterial SSU rRNA". It matches the Rfam family "Bacterial small subunit ribosomal RNA". Lineage: Bacteria; Pseudomonadati; Pseudomonadota; Alphaproteobacteria; Candidatus Pelagibacterales; Candidatus Pelagibacteraceae. The record is from RNAcentral.